CGGCUUUCCCCUUUCUUUCUUUCAUUUUCUCUUCAUUUUAUUGAAACACACACACACACCCACCCGCCAGCCUCCACUCCAAAACACACUAUCUCACCAUCAUUUUUCAGGCAAGAUCAUCGGAAAAAUACUUAGGAACUCCAAUGCAUCUUCAUUAUUUUAUUUGAGGUUCUAGCUAAUCUCCCCUUGGAGCUUGGAGAAUUAGGAUUUUGUGGUUGCGAGCCCUAUGCCAUGUGUGAUUUCCCGGUGAUCACCCGAUUUGAUUUCCGUAGUCUUUGUGACAAUGGAAUCAAAUUUAGGUCAGUGCCCUUUCACUUUGGAUGACGCGUUCUUCCCUGCUGUCCAUGGGGGGAAGAGGUUCUUUGAUUGUGUGUGAGUGAGGCUGCUGUCCAUGGGGCCAAGAGACUACAUGCAAGAGAGGUCCUAUUUGACGCGCUCUCUCUGCUGCCCAUAGGGAGAGAGAAAAAUCUUGAGGGUAUGGGUGAGGUUGCUGUCCAUGGAGCCAAGAGUCUGCAUACCAGAGAGGAUAAUAUCAUGCCAGUUGUGAAUGGGUGGAUCCCCUGACCGGUUUAUGUGGUAGUGUGGUAGAUUUGUGAUAAUUUAUCUUAUGUUAGAUAUUAUGGUUUUAGAAAUUAUAUUGUUGAUACUCACAGAUUACAGUAUAUAGUUUCAAGGUAUUUACUUUGAGAAACUUUGUGCUUCAUUAUGUAAUCAUUCUUGUCAUAUUAUUAUUAUUGAAGAUGAAACUUAUAUUUCCCCCACCCCCAUUAUUGUGCUACUUACUGGGUUUUGUCUCAUUCCAUUAUUUUUAUAAACUUUUUAGAGUAGGCAACAAUCUUUUGAGACAGCUUUUUGGCGGCUAAUAGUAGUUAGACUAACUACUGAUGGAGGCUGAAUUUUUGUAAUGGAUAUAUUAGAUAGUGUACAUCUUAGACUAGGCUUAACUCAUUCUUUUGUAUAUUAUAGUGGUUAUGACUGUAUUUCCACUGAUGGGACAAGCUGUUGUUAUGUAAUUGUUUUAUUUAGACCUCUAUUCUUUUGUGGCCUAUGGUCCUUGUAAUUAAUGCUUAGAACUCUGACUUACUCUGAAAGUAUAUUCUAUGGGAUUAUUAUGAUAAUUCUUGUUGUUGGCACUUGAUAAGAA
Long non-coding RNA from Quercus robur (English oak), 1144 nucleotides. RefSeq lists it as uncharacterized. The record is from RefSeq and is a predicted model, not a curated record. The transcript is spliced from 3 exons. NCBI's taxonomy places the organism in Eukaryota, Viridiplantae, Streptophyta, Magnoliopsida, Fagales, Fagaceae.